This 932-nucleotide non-coding RNA is filed under the name Novaculoides macrolepidotus. RNAcentral describes it as "partial 12S ribosomal RNA". It matches the Rfam family "Bacterial small subunit ribosomal RNA". The record is from RNAcentral. Lineage: Eukaryota; Metazoa; Chordata; Actinopteri; Labriformes; Labridae.
CACAAAGGCUUGGUCCUGACUUUGCCAUCAGCUUUAGCUAGACUUACACAUGCAAGUAUCCGCAAACCUGUGAGGAUGCCCAGAGCGUUCCCCUAUCGGGAACAAGGAGCCGGUAUCAGGCACGAAAUAUCUCAGCCCACAACACCUUGCUCAGCCACACCCCUAAGGGAAUUCAGCAGUGAUAAAUAUUAAGCCAUAAGUGAAAACUUGACUUAGUCAGCGCUAACAGGGUUGGUAAAUCUCGUGCCAGCCACCGCGGUUAUACGAGAAACCCAAGUUGAUAGCUGCCGGCGUAAAGAGUGGUUAAGGAAACCUCAGGCUAAAGUCGAACGGCCUCAAAGCUGUUAUAAGCUUAUGAAAGCACGAAGCCCAAUAACGAAAGUGACUUUAAACCCCUCUGACUCCACGAAAGCUGGGAUACAAACUGGGAUUAGAUACCCCACUAUGCCCAGCCCUAAACAGCGAUAGCCAACUACCUACACUAUCCGCCCGGGUACUACGAGCACCAGCUUAAAACCCAAAGGACUUGGCGGUGCUUUAGAUCCACCUAGAGGAGCCUGUUCUAGAACCGAUAAUCCCCGUUUAACCUCACCCCACCUUGUCUCUCCCGCCUAUAUACCGCCGUCGUCAGCUUACCCUCUGAGGGCCUAAUAGUAAGCAAAACUGGCACUGCCCAAAACGUCAGGUCGAGGUGUAGCGAAUGGAGGGGGAAGAAAUGGGCUACAUUCAAUACCCCUAUAAUGAAUACGAAUAAUAAACUGAAAAAUUUAUUUGAAGGAGGAUUUAGCAGUAAGUGAAAAACAGAGCGUUUUACUGAAUCUGGCCCUGAAGCGCGCACACACCGCCCGUCACUCUCCCCGAAUCUAAGAAGAAAAUAACUAAUAAACCAGCACUACAAAGGGGAGGUAAGUCGUAACAUGGUAAGUGUACCA